This 1056-nucleotide ribosomal RNA is filed under the name uncultured bacterium. Its description in RNAcentral is "bacterial SSU rRNA". It matches the Rfam family "Bacterial small subunit ribosomal RNA", at positions 59 to 1097 of the family's 1533-position model. The record is from RNAcentral.
AAGUCGAACGUUCACUUCGGGGUAGCAAUAUUCCGGGGUGGGAGUGGCGAAAGGGUGCGUAACGCGUGGGUAAUUUGCCGUGAAGAUGGGGAUAACUUGCUGAAAGGCGAGCUAAUACCGAAUACGGUGUCCGGGAGGCAUCUCCUGGCCAUCAAAGUUGGGGACCGCAAGGCCUGACGCUUCAUGAUAAGCCCGCGACCUAUCAGCUAGUUGGUGAGGUAACGGCCCACCAAGGCUUAGACGGGUAGCUGGUCUGAGAGGACGACCAGCCACACUGGAACUGAGACACGGUCCAGACACCUACGGGUGGCAGCAGUCGAGAAUUUUUCACAAUGGGCGAAAGCCUGAUGGAGCGACGCCGCGUGGGGGAUGAAGGGCUUCGGCCUGUAAACCCCUGUCAUUUGCGAACAAACCUUUUCACUGAACAAGUGAGAAGCUGAUAGUAGCGAAAGAGGAAGGGACGGCUAACUCUGUGCCAGCAGCCGCGGUAAUACAGAGGUCCCAAGCGUUGUUCGGAUUCACUGGGCGUAAAGGGUGCGUAGGUGGUCGAAUAAGUCUGAUGUGAAAGCUCCGGGCUUAACCCGGAAACGGCAUUAGAAACUGUUCGGCUGGAGGAUUGGAAGGGAGACUGGAAUUCUCGGUGUAGCAGUGAAAUGCGUAGAGAUCGAGAGGAACACCAGUGGCGAAGGCGGGUCUCUGGACAAUCCCUGACACUGAGGCACGAAAGCUAGGGGAGCAAACAGGAUUAGAUACCCUGGUAGUCCUAGCUGUAAACGGUGCACAUUUGCUGUAAGAGGAUUCGACCCCUUUUGUGGCGAACUAACGCGUUAAAUGUGCCGCCUGGGAAGUACGAUCGCAAGAUUAAACUCAAGAAUUGACGGGGGCCUGCACAAGCGGUGGAGUAUGUGGCUUAAUCGAUGCAACGCGAAAACCUUACCUGGCCUUGACAUGUAUCUAGUAGAAGGGUGAAGCCUGACGAGGUAGCAUACCAGGAUACCAGGUGCUGCAUGGCUGUCGUCACUCGUGCCGUGAAAUGUGGGUUAGUCCGCAACGAGC